Ornithodoros turicata is the source of this 452-nucleotide long non-coding RNA. RefSeq lists it as uncharacterized. The transcript has 4 exons. Lineage: Eukaryota; Metazoa; Arthropoda; Arachnida; Ixodida; Argasidae. The record is from RefSeq and is a predicted model, not a curated record.
ACUACUCGUGCGCAGGCACUAGGCACGCUCUAGGCACAAGCACCUGACGAAGAACUGCUCCGAAUAUCGCAGCACCUACACUCGACGUAAUCGUCAUUUCAUCCUAAAUCGGUCGCAUCAACCAAGCCGCAAAAAUGACUGAGAUGUCGAGCAUGUCGGGUAUGUCUGCUAUGUCUGGUAUGUCUGGUAUGUCAGACGUCUCGUCGAUGUCGUCGAUGGGUGGAGGCCCGACGGGAGCUGGAGGGUAAGAUGGAUGACGAUGGAUAAAUGGAGACUGAACUGGAAUUAGACACGUACGAGAUAUGUUUUGCGUGAGAUACUGAAUCGAAAUACCAUGCAACAAAAACCAGUAUCUCAGAACCGCGCGAGGGUACACAAUAAACAUAGGGAAUGCUGACAACAAAUGACUUUCGCUGAACGUUACUCUAAACGAUUUACUCCGUAUGAACUUA